CGAGGGACGGCGCCGCCCCGGGGCUCGUGAUAUCUUAUCUCGCCGCCCGUCGCGAGGCGGACGGAGGGAUGGAUGAGGUUACCUGGAAAAAAAUCGGGGCGAUCUAGGCGGGCGAACCUCGCCAACGAACGAUCGGACAUGGGAUAACGGAAGAGGGCGUCGGCUCGACUUCGUCGGUUCCUCGGGCCGAGGCACGUACGGUGAAUAGGGACGGUCGGGGCCGCCCGUACCGGGGUCGUGAGAGGUGAAAUUCUAGGAUCGACCCGAGACGAACUGCCGCGAAAAGCAUUCGGCAAGGACGCUUUCAUUAAUCAAGAACGAAAGUCGGGGGAUCGAAGACGAUCAGAUACCGUCGUAGUCCCGACCGUAAACGAUGCCGACCGAGGGCCCGGAGGAGUUACGUACGACCCUCCGGGCCUCCCGCGAGAAAUCAGGAGUAUUCGGGUUCCGGGG
Molecule: ribosomal RNA, 453 nt
Filed under: uncultured eukaryote
Lineage: Eukaryota
Description: bacterial SSU rRNA
Rfam family: Eukaryotic small subunit ribosomal RNA
Source: RNAcentral